GAUCCAGACUCCUACGGGAGGCAGCAGUGGAGAAUAUUGCACAAUGGGGGGAACCCUGAUGCAGCGACGCCGCGUGGGUGAAGGAGUACUUCGGUACGUAAAGCCCUAUCAGCAGGAAAGAAAAUGACGGUACCUGACUAAGAAGCCCCGGCUAACUCCGUGCCAGCAGCCGCGGUAAUACGUAGGGGGCAAGCGUUAUCCGGAUUUACUGGGUGUAAAGGGAGCGUAGACGGCAGUGCAAGUCCGGAGUGAAAGCCCGGGGCCCAACCCCGGGACUGCUCUGGAAACUGCGGCGCUGGAGUGCGGGAGGGGCAGGCGGAAUUCCUGGUGUAGCGGUGAAAUGCGUAGAUAUUAGGAGGAACACCAGUGGCGAAGGCGGCCUGCUGGACGAUGACUGACGCUGAGGCUCGAAAGCGUGGGGAGCAAACAG
Molecule: ribosomal RNA, 430 nt
Filed under: uncultured bacterium
Lineage: Bacteria
Description: partial 16S ribosomal RNA
Rfam family: Bacterial small subunit ribosomal RNA
Source: RNAcentral